AGCUCCAAUAGCGUAUAUUAAAGUUGUUGCAGUUAAAAAGCUCGUAGUUGGAUUUCUGAUAUCUUUUUCUGUCCAUCUUGUCUGGUCAAGUACCGAUGUUGGAUUUGAUUGGAUGUCAUCUUUCUCUGUUUAAUUUGUAGUUGAUGCAUUAAUUUGUAUUGAUUACAAAUGGAGAUCAUUUACUGUGAAAAAAUUAGAGUGUUCAAAGCAUGAUUUAUAAUCUUGAAUACAUUAGCAUGGAAUAAUAAGAUAGGACUAGAGUACUAUUUUGUUGGUUUGCAUACUUUAGUAAUGAUUAAUAGGAACAUAUUGGGGAUAUCUGUAUUUUUUAGUCAGAGGUGAAAUUCUUGGAUUUAAGAAAGACAAACUACAGCGAAAGCAUUUAUCAAGGAUGUUUUCA
This 400-nucleotide ribosomal RNA is filed under the name phytoplankton environmental sample. RNAcentral's name for it is "partial small subunit ribosomal RNA". It matches the Rfam family "Eukaryotic small subunit ribosomal RNA", at positions 587 to 972 of the family's 1831-position model. The record is from RNAcentral.